RNAcentral lists this ribosomal RNA (253 nucleotides) under uncultured bacterium. Its description in RNAcentral is "partial 16S ribosomal RNA". It matches the Rfam family "Bacterial small subunit ribosomal RNA", at positions 524 to 776 of the family's 1533-position model. The record is from RNAcentral.
GACGAACCGUGCGACCGUUGUUCGGAAUCACUGGGCUUAAAGGGCGCGUAGGCGGCUUGCCAAGUCCGGGGUGAAAGCCUCCAGCUCAACUGGAGAAGUGCCUUGGAAACUGGCGAGCUCGAGCGAGGUAGGGGUCGUGGGAACUUCCGGCGGAGCGGUGAAAUGCGUUGAUAUCGGAAGGAACGCCGGUGGCGAAAGCGCACGACUGGAUCUCUUCUGACGCUGAGGCGCGAAAGCCAGGGGAGCAAACGGG